Molecule: ribosomal RNA, 323 nt
Filed under: Alphaproteobacteria bacterium
Lineage: Bacteria; Pseudomonadati; Pseudomonadota; Alphaproteobacteria
Description: partial 16S ribosomal RNA
Source: RNAcentral
GGAGUCUGGACCGUGUCUCAGUUCCAAUGUGGCUGUUCGUCCUCUCAGACCAGCUAUAGAUCGUAGGCUUGGUGGGCCUUUACCUCACCAACUACCUAAUCUUCCGCGGGCCAAUCUUUUAGCGAAUUGCUCCUUUCCCCCUCAGGGUUUAUGCGGUAUUAGCAGAAGUUUCCCCCUGUUGUCCCCCACUAAAAGGUAUGUUCCCACGUGUUACUCACCAGUGCGCUACUCUCAUGACAAAUAGCAAGCUAUCCGUCAAUCCCGUUCAACUUGCAUGUGUUAGGCCUGCCGCCAGCGUUCGUUCUGAGCCAGGAUCAACUACU